CGCCCAAGAGAUCGGGAUAACACCUGGAAACAGAUGCUAAUACCGGAUAACAACAGAUGAUGCCUAUCAACUGUUUAAAAGAUGGUUCUGCUAUCACUCUUGGAUGGACCUGCGGUGCAUUAGCUAGUUGGUAGGGUAAUGGCCUACCAAGGCGAUGAUGCAUAGCCGAGUUGAGAGACUGAUCGGCCACAUUGGGACUGAGACACGGCCCAA
RNAcentral lists this ribosomal RNA (213 nucleotides) under uncultured bacterium. RNAcentral describes it as "partial 16S ribosomal RNA". It matches the Rfam family "Bacterial small subunit ribosomal RNA", at positions 127 to 334 of the family's 1533-position model. The record is from RNAcentral.